RNAcentral lists this ribosomal RNA (305 nucleotides) under uncultured bacterium. Its description in RNAcentral is "bacterial SSU rRNA". It matches the Rfam family "Bacterial small subunit ribosomal RNA", at positions 337 to 659 of the family's 1533-position model. The record is from RNAcentral.
GCCUACGGGGCGCAGCAGUGGGGAAUAUUGCACAAUGGGGGAAACCCUGAUGCAGCAACGCCGCGUGAGUGAUGACGGCCUUCGGGUUGUAAAGCUCUGUCUUCAGGGACGAUAAUGACGGUACCUGAGGAGGAAGCCACGGCUAACUACGUGCCAGCAGCCGCGGUAAUACGUAGGUGGCGAGCGUUGUCCGGAUUUACUGGGCGUAAAGGGAGCGUAGGCGGUAUGUCAAGUCAAGGGUGAAAUCCCCGCGCUCAACGUGGGGACUGCCUUUGAAACUGGCAAACUGGAGUGUGUGAGAGGAU